Alligator mississippiensis (American alligator) is the source of this 118-nucleotide small nuclear RNA. RefSeq annotates it as U5 spliceosomal RNA. NCBI's taxonomy places the organism in Eukaryota, Metazoa, Chordata, Crocodylia, Alligatoridae. The transcript has a single exon. The record is from RefSeq and is a predicted model, not a curated record.
AUACUUCGGUUUCUCUUCAGAUCGCAUAAAUCUUUCACCUUUUACUAAAGAUUUCCGUGGAAUAUAAUACCUACAUGUCAUCUAUGAGGGGGUUUCAGAAACUAAUGGCUAUAUGAGU